This 649-nucleotide ribosomal RNA is filed under the name uncultured bacterium. Its description in RNAcentral is "bacterial SSU rRNA". It matches the Rfam family "Bacterial small subunit ribosomal RNA", at positions 747 to 1395 of the family's 1533-position model. The record is from RNAcentral.
UGAGGGACGAAAGCGUGGGUAGCGAACAGGAUUAGAUACCCUGGUAGUCCACGCCGUAAACGAUGGUCACUAGCUGUUUGACUAACAAUGGUUAGUUGAGUGGCUAAGCGAAAGUGAUAAGUGACCCACCUGGGGAGUACGCUCGCAAGAGUGAAACCCAAAGGAAUUGACGGGGGCCCACACAAGCGGUGGAGCAUGUGGUUUAAUUCGAUGAUACGCGAGGAACCUUACCAGGGCUUAAAUGUACGUUGCAUGAUUUAGAGAUAGAUCUUUCUUCGGACUACGUACAAGGUGCUGCAUGGUUGUCGUCAGCUCGUGCCGUGAGGUGUCAGGUUAAGUCCUAUAACGAGCGCAACCCCUAUCGUUAGUUGCCAACAGGUUAAGCUGGGAACUCUAACGAGACUGCCGGUGCAAACCGCGAGGAAGGUGGGGAUGACGUCAAAUCAUCACGGCCCUUACGUCCUGGGCCACACACGUGCUACAAUGGCCGGUACAGAGAGCAGCCACUCCGCGAGGAGGAGCGAAUCUAUAAAACCGGUCUCAGUUCGGAUCGCAGUCUGCAACUCGACUGCGUGAAGCUGGAAUCGCUAGUAAUCGGAUAUCAGCCAUGAUCCGGUGAAUACGUUCCCGGGCCUUGUACACACCGCCC